UACGGGGGGUGCGAGCGUUAAUCGGACUUACUGGGCGUAAAGCGCACGUAGGCGGAUCAUUAAGUUAGAUGUGAAAUACCUGGGCUCAACCUGGGAAUUGCAUUUAAUACUGGUGAACUAGAGUAUGGCAGAGGGAAGUGGAAUUUCCGGUGUAGCGGUGAAAUGCGUAGAUAUCGGAAGGAACAUCAGUGGCGAAGGCGACUUCCUGGGCUAAUACUGACACUGAGGAGCGAAAGCGUGGGUAUCGAACAGG
This 253-nucleotide ribosomal RNA is filed under the name uncultured bacterium. RNAcentral's name for it is "partial 16S ribosomal RNA". It matches the Rfam family "Bacterial small subunit ribosomal RNA", at positions 524 to 776 of the family's 1533-position model. The record is from RNAcentral.